CUCACUGGUCGAGUCGGCCCGCGCGGAAGAUGUAACGGGGCUAAACCAUGCACCGAAGCUGCGGCAGCAAUACUAUGUAUUGUUGGGUAGGGGAGCGUUCUGUAAGCCUGCGAAGGUGUGCUGUGAGGCAUGCUGGAGGUAUCAGAAGUGCGAAUGCUGACAUAAGUAACGAUAAUGCGGGUGAAAAACCCGCACGCCGGAAGACCAAGGGUUCCUGUCCAACGUUAAUCGGGGCAGGGUGAGUCGACCCCUAAGGCGAGGCUGAAAAGCGUAGUCGAUGGGAAACGGGUUAAUAUUCCCGUACUGGUGGUAACUGCGAUGGGGGAACGGAGAAGGCUAGGUUGUCCGGGCGACGGUCGUCCCGGUUCAAGCAUGUAGGCAGAGUGAUUAGGCAAAUCCGGUCACUUAAUGCUGAGGUGUGAUGACGAACCACUAAGGUGGUGAAGCAAUUGAUGCCCUGCUUCCAGGAAAAGCCUCUAAGCUUCAGGUUACCAACAAUCGUACCCCAAACCGACACAGGUGGUCAGGUAGAGAAUACUCAGGCGCUUGAGAGAACUCGGGUGAAGGAACUAGGCAAAAUGGUGCCGUAACUUCGGGAGAAGGCACGCUGGCGGUAAGUGAAGUCCCUUGCGGACGGAGCCGAAGCCAGUCGAAGAUACCAGCUGGCUGCAACUGUUUAUUAAAAACACAGCACUGUGCAAACACGAAAGUGGACGUAUACGGUGUGACGCCUGCCCGGUGCUGGAAGGUUAAUUGAUGGGGUUAUCCGUAAGGAGAAGCUCUUGAUCGAAGCCCCAGUAAACGGCGGCCGUAACUAUAACGGUCCUAAGGUAGCGAAAUUCCUUGUCGGGUAAGUUCCGACCUGCACGAAUGGCGUAAUGAUGGCCAGGCUGUCUCCACCCGAGACUCAGUGAAAUUGAACUCGCUGUGAAGAUGCAGUGUACCCGCGGCAAGACGGAAAGACCCCGUGAACCUUUACUAUAGCUUGACACUGAACAUUGAGCCUUGAUGUGUAGGAUAGGUGGGAGACUAUGAAAUGUGGACGCCAGUCUGCAUGGAGUCAACCUUGAAAUACCACCCUUUAACGUUUGAUGUUCUAACCUAGGUCCAUAAUCUGGAUCGGGGACCGUGUCUGGUGGGUAGUUUGACUGGGGCGGUCUCCUCCUAAAGAGUAACGGAGGAGCACGAAGGUUGGCUAAGCAUGGUCGGACAUCAUGCGGUUAGUGCAAAGGCAUAAGCCAGCUUGACUGUGAGAGUGACGGCUCGAGCAGGUACGAAAGUAGGUCUUAGUGAUCCGGUGGUUCUGAAUGGAAGGGCCAUCGCUCAACGGAUAAAAGGUACUCCGGGGAUAACAGGCUGAUACCGCCCAAGAGUUCAUAUCGACGGCGGUGUUUGGCACCUCGAUGUCGGCUCAUCACAUCCUGGGGCUGAAGUAGGUCCCAAGGGUAUGGCUGUUCGCCAUUUAAAGUGGUACGCGAGCUGGGUUUAGAACGUCGUGAGACAG
RNAcentral lists this ribosomal RNA (1504 nucleotides) under Proteus genomosp. 4 str. ATCC 51469. RNAcentral describes it as "bacterial LSU rRNA". It matches the Rfam family "Bacterial large subunit ribosomal RNA", at positions 1141 to 2629 of the family's 2925-position model. Lineage: Bacteria; Pseudomonadati; Pseudomonadota; Gammaproteobacteria; Enterobacterales; Morganellaceae. The record is from RNAcentral.